GACGAACGCUGGCGGCGUGCUUAACACAUGCAAGUCGAACGGAAAGGCCCUGCUUUUGUGGGGUGCUCGAGUGGCGAACGGGCGAGUAACACGUGAGUAACCUGCCCUUGACUUUGGGAUAACUUCAGGAAACUGGGGCUAAUCCCGGAUAGGAGCUCCUGCUGCAUGGUGGGGGUUGGAAAGUUUCGGCGGUUGGGGAUGGACUCGCGGCUUAUCAGCUUGUUGGUGGGGUAGUGGCUUACCAAGGCUUUGACGGGUAGCCGGCCUGAGAGGGUGACCGGCCACAUUGGGACUGAGAUACGGCCCAGACUCCUACGGGAGGCAGCAGUGGGGAAUAUUGCACAAUGGGCGGAAGCCUGAUGCAGCAACGCCGCGUGCGGGAUGACGGCCUUCGGGUUGUAAACCGCUUUCGCCUGUGACGAAGCGUGAGUGACGGUAAUGGGUAAAGAAGCACCGGCUAACUACGUG
RNAcentral lists this ribosomal RNA (468 nucleotides) under uncultured bacterium. RNAcentral's name for it is "partial 16S ribosomal RNA". It matches the Rfam family "Bacterial small subunit ribosomal RNA", at positions 28 to 507 of the family's 1533-position model. The record is from RNAcentral.